GGUAACAAAAUGCACCGAGGAAAACGAUUUAGAGAUGUGGAGUUCCAGCAGUCUCAGGUGGGAUCUUCUUCUGCUCAGUCCAUUGAUAAGUGCUAAAUAAUGCAUAAACUAACAUCUUAUUCAUAGCACUUAUCAUUAUUUUAAUUCACAUAUUUUGUAAAUUUAACUAAAAAUUGUAUUACCUUCAUAAUUGCAUUUUAAUAAAUUAUCCAAGGUAAUUCGAAUUUUAUUUGAUUAUUUAUUGAUUAAGCUUAAUGCAUGCAGGUCGAGUCGAGCUCAAUUAGGUAAAGCCUAAACUGACACUGCAUCAUUUCACAACCUUCAGAGUCAACUCCAAGAACUCUUCUCCAAAAUCCAGUGCUUCCCAUUAAUUCCUGACUCUUCACACAUUCACCUAAAUUUCUUCCCACUCAUUCCAAUUCUCCUGUUUAACAUUAAAAAUAAUAUAAUCCCUUCGAUCAUUUGUCUCAUAGAUCUCAAAGCAUACCAUCUAUCGUCGCACGGAUCCCAAAGCUCAACCUAUGUCCUCCAAUUCACACGCCCUCCCUCACGCCCGAGUUCAUUUUCUGCUUUCCUUGUUAGAGCCGCAACCGUCACAAUCCAACUCCCCUGUUUCCACAACAUCCAAACACGGCCCCAGAUAUCUCUCUGUUAAACUAAAUCCAAACCAGCAGCAUCCAUCCAUGAAUCCGAUUCCAACCACUGCCAGCAGCUCCCCUGUUACGAGUAUCCCAUUUGCAUCUUUCCGAAUCUCCCAACCAUCCCUCAAUCAGCCGAGAUCCUCUCGGUUCAUGGAUUGAAUUCCAUCUCUCAGCCGAGACCCUCUCAGUUCACGCUCACAUCCCGACCAUUUUCCGAACUGAUUCCAUGAUAAACUUCCAUAGCCUUUAUCCCGUAUCCACCGUUCCAACUCCUCUGUCCCAGCUACAACUUUAUCCCGAAUGAAUCCCAACCAUUUCCUUCCGUGAACUAACUCAUAUCUUUCCCAACGGCAUCUUAAUCUUAUCCUCCCAUGAUCCCAUACUUUCGUGUCCCUUCCCUUCCGGAUUCCUCCCAUCCGCGUGUCUUCCCUCUUC
RNAcentral lists this long non-coding RNA (1076 nucleotides) under Phoenix dactylifera (date palm). Its description in RNAcentral is "long non-coding RNA (PDAC_LNC015185)". Lineage: Eukaryota; Viridiplantae; Streptophyta; Magnoliopsida; Arecales; Arecaceae. The record is from RNAcentral.